This is a long non-coding RNA of Oncorhynchus keta (chum salmon), 607 nucleotides long. RefSeq lists it as uncharacterized. The transcript has 3 exons. NCBI's taxonomy places the organism in Eukaryota, Metazoa, Chordata, Actinopteri, Salmoniformes, Salmonidae. The record is from RefSeq and is a predicted model, not a curated record.
UUUGUCUUGGGUAACAACCAAAAUGUGUGUUGGGGGGACUGGAGUUGGGAAACACUUCAAUCUUGACAAAAGGCAAUAUUUUACUCCCAAUUAAGAAAACAAAGUAUGGCAGUACAAGACCAAUACACAACCAGCACUCUGGAUCAGCCGAGUCCUUCUGAAAUGCUCCACAGAUAUACACAUCCAAGCUGGCCUAAACCGGAUUUGACUUCCAUUUUUCUGGUGGCUGUGAAAUGGAUACUCAAAAAAACAGUUACGGCCGACUCAGAAGUUACGUGACAAGGUGACAACAAUGCAUGCCAUGGAUGUUUCCCAGUUGCUUUGAAUGUUGAAUAUCACAGGGUUUACUAACCACCGGUCCUGGCAACCCAUCAUUAUGCACACCUGGCAACCCUCAUUACGCACACCUGCAUCCCAUCAUGAGGCACACCUGCACCCCAUCAAGAGGCACACCUGGACUCAAUCACUUCCCUGACUACUCCCCCUUUAUCUAGCACUCCCUAGCAUCACUCUUCGGGUAGUAUUGGUUAUGUUUCCUUGUCAGACGGUUCUCUUGUUUUGUAUCUUUCUACGUUCAUUAUUAUUAAAACUCAUUAACUGCACCUGC